AUUGAACGCUGGCGGCAGGCCUAACACAUGCAAGUCGAACGAGUGGCGGACGGGUGAGUAAUGUCUGGGAAACUGCCUGAUGGAGGGGGAUAACUACUGGAAACGGUAGCUAAUACCGCAUACCAUCGGAUGUGCCCAGAUGGGAUUAGCUAGUAGGUGGGGUAAAGGCUCACCUAGGCGACGCUCCCUAGCUGGUCUGAGAGGAUGACCAUGCACACUGGAACUGAGCCACGGGCCAUACUCCUACGGGAGGCAGCAGUGGGGAAGAGUGCACAAUGGGCGCAAGCCUGAUGCAGCCAUGCCGCGUGUAUGAAGAAGGCCUUCGGGUUGUAAAGUACUGUCAGCGGGGAGUCGUUACCCGCAGAAGAAGCACCGGCUAACUCCGUGCCAGCAGCCGCGGUAAUAC
RNAcentral lists this ribosomal RNA (406 nucleotides) under uncultured bacterium. Its description in RNAcentral is "partial 16S ribosomal RNA". It matches the Rfam family "Bacterial small subunit ribosomal RNA", at positions 30 to 526 of the family's 1533-position model. The record is from RNAcentral.